GUCAAGCUACGAAAGGGUACAUGGUGGAUGUCUAGGUGCUAAGAGACGAGGAAGGACGUGGAAGACUGCGAAAAGCCUCGGGGAGCUGUCAACCGAGCGUUGAUCCGGGGAUGUCCGAAUGGGGCAACCUGCUUCGGGUAAAUACCGGAGCAUCGGUACCUGAAUCUAUAGGGUAUCGAGGUGAACGGAGCGAAGUGAAACAUCUCAGUAGCUCCAGGAAGAGAAAGAGAUAAUCGAUUUCCUCAGUAGCGGCGAGCGAACAGGAAAGAGCCCAAACCAGUUGUGUGGAGAAGCCCUUGUGCGUUGCACGGCUGGGGUCGAGGGAGCUGUCCGACUGCAGGUCAAGGACUGCGGGGAAAGUUAGCAAGAUAUGAUUUAGCUGAAUAGAGCAGGAAAGCCUAACCGGAGAAGGUGAAAGUCCUGUAGGCGAAAAGUCAUAUCCUUUCUGGACGGCAACCCAAGUAGCAUCCGUCUCGUGGAAGCGGGUGUGAAGUAAGGGGGCCCACCCCCUAAGGCUAAAUACUUCUUAGCGACCGAUAGUGAACCAGUAGCGCGAGCGAAAGAUGAAAAGUACCCCUGUUAGGGGAAUGAAAGAGAACCUGAAACCAUGUACUUACGAGCGGUGGGAGCACUAUGGGUGAGAGCCCAGUGUGACCGCGUGCCUUUUGCAUAAUGAACCGGCGAGUUACUCUAUAUUGCAAGGUUAAGUCUUUUAAGGGACGGAGCCCGAGCGAAAGCGAGUGUGAAGAGCGCGAUAUGAGUAGUAUAGAGUAGACCCGAAACCAGGUGAUCUACCCUUGGUCAGGAUGAAGUGGGUGUAAAAGCUCAUGGAGGUCCGAACGCACUUGCGUUGAAAAGCGAGGCGAUGAACUGAGGGGAGGAGUAAAAGUCUAAUCAAACCUGGUGAUAGCUGGUUCUCCCCGAAAUAGCUUUAGGGCUAGCCUUCUGGAAGUAGAGAAUGGGGGUAGAGAUACUGAUUGGAACUUGGGGCCUACCCGGCUACCAAAUCCAGUCAAACUCCGAAUACCAUUUUCCGUAUCAGAGGAGUCAGACUGUGGGGGAUAAACUUCAUGGUCAAGAGGGAAACAACCCAGACCGACAGCUAAGGUCCCUAAGAUAGGCUAAGUGGUAAAGGAAGUGAGGGUGCGAAGACAGUUAGGAUGUUGGCUUAGAAGCAGCAAUCAUUUAAAAAGUGCGUAAUAGCUUACUAACCGAGCACGCUUGCGCCGAAAAUAUUACGGGGCUGAAGCCUAUUACCGAAGCUUCGGAUUUGGAGGGUUAUGCGUAACCUUUCAAGUGGUAGGGGAGCGUUCUACGGUAGGUUGAAGAGAGACUGAGAAGACUCUUGGACGAGGUAGAAGUGAUAAUGCCGGUAUGAGUAGCGACAAUAUAAGUGAGAAUCUUAUUCGCCGUAAGCCUAAGGUUUCCUGGGGAAGGUAAAUCCGCCCAGGGUUAGCCGGGGCCUAAGUCGAGGCUGAAAGGCGUAGACGAUGGACAGCGGGUUAAUAUUCCUGCGCCACCACGCAAGCGUUUGAGCAUGGGGGGACGAAGCGGCAAAGGUUAGCAGGCCACUAGAUACGGUCUGUUCAAGCCGGAGGUGUUGUCUCAGGCAAAUCCGAGACACUAAGGCACCGAGGGUGAGCACGUGGGCAUUGAGCCCGGAAGUAACCGGAGCGGUUUCCGAGAAAAGCCUCGUUAGCGAGUUUGAGUGGUGCCCGUACUAAAACUGACACAGGUAGGCGAGGAGAGAAUCCUAAGGCGCUCGAGAGAACCCUCGUUAAGGAACUCGGCAAAAUAACUCCGUAACUUCGGGAGAAGGAGUGCCCCGGGCGACCGGGGUCGCAGUGAAGAGGCCUGGGCGACUGUUUACUAAAAACACAAGUCUCUGCGAAGAUGAAAAAUCAAGGUAUAGAGACUGACGCGUGCUCGAUGCCAGAACGUUAAGGGGAUGGGUCAGUGUUCUUCGGGAUGCGAAGCUCAGAACUGAAGCGCUGGUGAAUGGCGGCUCUAACUAUGAGAGUCCUAAGGUAGCGAAGUUCCUUGUCAGAUAAUUACUGACGUGCAUGAAUCGCGUAACGACCUAGGCACUGUCUCAACGAGGGACUCGGCGAAAUUGUAGUCGUGGUGAAGAUGCCACGUACCCGCGGCAAGACGGAAAGACCCCGUGAACCUUUACUGUAGCCUAUUAUUGGGUUUUGUCAUGGUAUGCGUAGGAUAGGUGGGAGACGAGGAAGUCCUGGCCCUGGCCGGGAUGGAGUCGCCGGUGAAAUACCACCCUUAUCAUGGUAAAGUCCUAACCACAGUCCGUGAAUCCGGAUGUGGGACAGUGAUAGGUGGGCAGUUUGACUGGGGCGGUCUCCUCCUAAAGAGUAACGGAGGAGUCCAAAGGCUUUCUCAGUGCGCUUGGCAACCGCACGAAGAGUGUAAGGGCAAAAGAAAGCUUAACUGCAAGACCCAUAAGUCGAGCAGAUGUGAAAGCAGGGCCUAGUGAUCCGGUGGUAGUGUGUGGAAACGCCAUCGCUCAACAGAUAAAAGGUACUCCGGGGAUAACAGGCUUAUCGCUCCCGAGCGUCCAUAGCGGCGGAGCGGUUUGGCACCUCGAUGUCGGCUCAUCGCAUCCUGGGGCUGGAGAAGGUCCCAAGGGUUCUGGAGUUCACAGAUUAAAGCGGUACGCGAGCUGGGUUUAGACCGUCGUGAGACAGGUCGGUCCCUAUCUGCCGUGGGUGUGUGAUAUUUGAGGAGAUCUGUCCCUAGUACGAGAGGACCGGGAUGGACGUACCUCUGGUGUACCAGUUGUCGUGCUAACGGCAUCGCUGGGUAGCUAUGUACGGAAAGGAUAAAUGCUGAAAGCAUAUAAGCAUGAAGCCUACUCCAAGACGAGAUAUCAUUUCCCUUAACCGGGUGAGAGGCACCUUGGAGAUGACAAGGUCGAUAGGCCAGAGGUGUAAGCACAGUAAUGUGCUCAGCUGACUGGUACUAAUACGCCGAAAAGCUUGACGUA
RNAcentral lists this ribosomal RNA (3001 nucleotides) under Candidatus Loosdrechtia aerotolerans. RNAcentral describes it as "23S ribosomal RNA". It matches the Rfam family "Bacterial large subunit ribosomal RNA". Lineage: Bacteria; Pseudomonadati; Planctomycetota; Candidatus Brocadiia; Candidatus Brocadiales; Candidatus Brocadiaceae. The record is from RNAcentral.